RNAcentral lists this ribosomal RNA (510 nucleotides) under uncultured bacterium. RNAcentral's name for it is "partial 16S ribosomal RNA". It matches the Rfam family "Bacterial small subunit ribosomal RNA", at positions 28 to 507 of the family's 1533-position model. The record is from RNAcentral.
GACGAACGCUGGCGGCGUGCUUAACACAUGCAAGUCGAACGAAGAGCGAUGGGAGCUUGCUUCUAUCAAUCUUAGUGGCGAACGGGUGAGUAACGCGUAAUCAACCUGCCCUUCAGAGGGGGACAACAGUUGGAAACGCCUGCUAAUACUGCAUACGAUCUCAUCUCGGCAUCGAGGAUAGAUGAACGGUGGCCUCUACAUGUAAGCUAUCACUGAAGGAGGGGAUUGCGUCUGAUUAGCUAGUUGGCGGGGUAGCGCCCCACCAAGGCGAUGAUCAGUAGCAGGACGGAGAGGAUGAACGGCCACAUUGGGACGGAGACACGGCCCAGACUGCUACGGGAGGCAGCAGUGGGGAAUCUUCCGCCAUGGACGAAAGUCUGACGGAGCAACGCCGCGUGAGUGAUGACGGACUUCGGGUUGUAAAGCUCUGUUAAUCGGGACGAAAGGCCUUCUUGCGAACAGUUAGAAGGAUUGACGGUACCGGAAUAGAAAGCCACGGCUAACUACGUG